Molecule: ribosomal RNA, 253 nt
Filed under: uncultured bacterium
Lineage: Bacteria
Description: partial 16S ribosomal RNA
Rfam family: Bacterial small subunit ribosomal RNA
Source: RNAcentral
UACGUAGGGUGCGAGCGUUAUUCGGAAUUAUUGGGCGUAAAGGGCGCGUAGGCGGCCAUGCGUGUCUUCCGUGAAAUCCCUCGGCUUAACUGAGGACGUGCGGAAGAAACUGCAAGGCUUGAGUCCGGGAGAGGGGGGUGGAAUUCCCAGUGUAGCGGUGAAAUGCGUAGAUAUUGGGAGGAACACCGGUGGCGAAGGCGGCCCCCUGGACCGGUACUGACGCUGAUGCGCGAAAGCGUGGGGAGCGAUCCGG